This is a non-coding RNA of Bacillus sp. CHD6a, 160 nucleotides long. Lineage: Bacteria; Bacillati; Bacillota; Bacilli; Caryophanales; Bacillaceae. The record is from Rfam.
CUCUUAUCAAGAGCAGGUGGAGGGAUUUGGCCCGAUGAAACCCAGCAACCGACCGUAAUACUGUUGUGAGACAGGGCGUUACACAUGUGUGGACGCCGAACGAAAAUGUUCUUAAGGCACGGUGCUAAUUCCAGCAGAAAUUAUUUCUGGCAGAUAAGAG